GGAGAUUUGCAACUGAGCACAGCAAGAACAGGAUAGAGUCCUAAUAACAGGAGGACAGCUUUGCUUGGCAGAGGGUUUUUGGAAAUACAACAGAGAUGCAAAGAGAAUAGCUAAAAGGCAUCAUAGAUUCAGAGUCACAGCAGGAGACUGGAACAACGGUGCACAGGAAGACAUUUUAUAAGGAAGUUUUGAUUUCCUUUGAUGACUCAGUAGAUCUUUGAAAAAUUGACAACUCACCUAUAAAGAUCACACUUCUAACCUGAGCGGGAUCCAGAGGGUGGCAAGUUCAGGUAUUUGCCAGUGACCCAAGAAGAGCCAAGAUAUCACAGCCCCACCAAGGUUGUUAGUCUUGGUGACAAUAUUUAUCAUGAAGCAUCCAAGGAGGUCAGAGGUAAGUCUUGGGUUGCAGCACUACCUUUUCCAGGUUCAGGGGAGCAUUGUCCAAAGACUCCCCAAAUCUCAUAGCUAGCGCUGUUCCUGGGUAUUGGAAACUGUAUGAAUAACACUUCAAAAACCUUUUCAGGCAGUGGAUGAGCUCAGAGCCAGAGCAAAAUGUUUUGCUACCCUGAGUAGAAAAUGAUCGGGGGGGGGGGGGCGGGGCGGGAUAUAACCCAGGAUCUUGUGCAAUGAUGUAGAUAAUUUGGGGACAGGAGACUAGGAUUGCAUAUUCUUUUCACUAGCAUGACUAAAAUACCAGUGUUCCAAAUGACUGCUUGUGUUAUUCAUUUUGGGGUGGAGCUACCUGAACGUCACCUCAAAUUAUGGUUAGGCUCUAUAAGGGCACAGAAGCCCAGUCACCACUCCAGUGGAUGAAGCUCAUCAUCACCCUGCCUCCUUCUCAUGAAGGAAGGCUAAAUGUGCAUAUGUGAAGAAACAGGGCAGGGAAAAUGGAGGCAAGUGGGGGCAAGGGUGGUGUGCAGAUUAGCUGGCCUCUGAAGAAAAGGCAGUGAGGAAAUUGAGUACAAUAUAUUCUCCAGUAAUUGUGGGCUAGCUACUUUAUUAUUAUUAUUAUUAUGAUUUGGGCUUUUUCCACAAUUUGCAUUUUCUAGAAAUACAAAUUUCCUAAACAUGCCAUUUUAUAAACAUAUCAUUUCAGAAAGCAAGAUAUUUGCCAUUUCCCUCUAACAAAAAUAAGCCUUCACAGGGUCAGUGGAUUAAAAUGAUUUUUUUAAAAAACCACGGUGUGAAAUCUCAAGUGAAAAACAAGUAUGGGCUUUAAGGAUUAACACAGCCAGCCUCAACAGACAUUUGAACAGGUGUUUGAAAAUGAAUACAAAGAUUUAAUAUAUCCCUGACUCCAGUGAGCAUAGGUAAUCCUUCUAAAUCCUCUAACUUUCCUUAACGUAUACAGUAGCAACUAUAUGCUGCAUAUGCGGCUAGACUAGAUACAAUUGUGGAAUGCCAACUCCAUCCCUAACUUCAUACUGGGUGGAGAAGGCGUUGCAGUGGUGGAAGGUGGCAAAGGGAGAUUAGUGAAAGAAGAAGGUAGAGAUCUUCCCUUCACAAACAUAUGACUUCUGACCUUGAGGGAAAGGCACAAGAAGCUAAAUAUGCAGCCAAACACAAAAUAGUUAAUAAUAAUAAUAAUAAUAAUAAUAAUAAUAAUAAUAAUUUAUACCUUGCCUAUCUGGCUGGGCUUCCCCAUCCACUCUGGGUGGCUUCCAACAAAAUAUUAAAAUACAGUAAUCCAUCAAACAUUAAAAGCUUCCCUAAACAGGGCUGCCUUCAGUUGUCUUCUAAAACUCUGGUAGUUGUUGUUCUCUUUGACAUCUGGUGGGAGGGCAUUCCACAGGGCUGGUGCCACCACUGAGAAGGCCCUCUGCCUGGUUCCCUGUAACUUGGCUUCUCGCACUGAGGGAACCGCCAGAAAGCUCUUGGUGCUGGACCUCAGUGUCCGGGUAGAACAAUGGGGGUGGAGACGCUAAAGAUGCAAGUCAUAGUAGGGCUGAAACUGGAGUUUUGGUGGAGCACUGGGAUGAUCCAUGGGAAUUUGCAGACCAGGUCUGAGAGUUGAGAAGCCAAACCAAAGGGAGCUGCAAUGAGGAAAAGCAGGAGGAACUGUCACACUAGGAGAAAGGGGGAGGGAAGAUGGCAGACAGGGAAGCAAGAGGAGAAAAACACUGACUGACAUUCAUUGGUCAUAUUUAGCCAUCACAAUAAACAAUAGCUUUGUAUUAUGAGAACAAGCUGCAGUCAGCCUUGGGCUCCCCCAUCAGUUUCGCUUUACCACAGCUUCUUACCAUCCCAAGCAACCUGUGGUUAAUCUUAAAUAUGGCUUGUUUGAAACAAGCCAACUUUAACUGGAUGUAACAUCCAAACUGGGCCAUUAGGGCUGUCACAAGAAAUUCUGCUACCUGAGGCAGCUGGAGGCUCUGCUACAGCCCAACUCCUUCUCCCCUGUACAAUAGCUAUUGCCCACACAUUUUCCCCAGCUCCCAUUGGUUUUCCCUCCACAACAUGUCUCCCUUCCUGCCUUACUCUGAGGAAGGGCUGAGGUGGUCCUUCCUCAGAGGGAGGCAAUCUAGGUGAAGUGGCCAGGGGAGUGCCUGUAGUGUUGCUGCUGCAGCUAGAAAUGCUGUUUAAACUUUAAGAAUUCAAAGUGACUUUAAACUUCAUCUCUAGCCACUGUGGCAAACCAUGGUGGCAGUCCAGGUGCCCUCCUGGCCACCUCACCCAGAAUGCUUUGCUCUGAUAACUCCUUUGGCCUCUUCAGAGUGAGCAGAGUGGCUAGAGAGGCAGAAGCCUUGCUGGAUGGGUAGCUGGUCAUAGUAGCAUCAGGAGGGCUGGCUGGCAGGCAGUGAGGCAGACAAGAAAGGGACCAAUUCAUUGCCCCCUGCCCCUUCAGGUUGCCUCCUUAUAGUGACAGACAGCCCUUUAGUGUGUAUAAUUGUGUUUGUGCACACUUGCAGCUCCAACUGGAUUGUACACGUCUGCAAACAGCUAUGAAAAUUAUCCACAGUUAUAUUUUUUAAUGUUGCUUGUGUUAAUCUUACAUUACGCCAAUAGAAAUUGCAAAGCUUCAAAGCAAAAUGAUUUUUUUAAAAAAAAAACCCUGGCCCCAGGGCAUUUCACAUGAUUUCUUUUCAGACACAGCUAAGAACAACUAAUGCAUUACUAGCGUCUCUAAACCAAUGAGAGAUGGAGAAGGAGAAGAACAGAAAGUCUUAAAAGAUGACCAUAAGAAGUUCCAAUUCUCAGAAGUCACGGAGACAGUCAAAGGGCAGAGUAAGACAUUUUAAGAAAUACAGAGCUCUCUGGCUCAAGGUUAUUCAUGCUCCAUAAACCUCCCAGUUCGAUUACUGCAAUGUGUUAUGCUUAGGGCUACAUUUGAAGAUAAUUUGGAAGCUCCAAUUAGCACCGGAUGCAGAAGGGCCAG
Molecule: long non-coding RNA, 3376 nt
Filed under: Podarcis lilfordi (Lilford's wall lizard)
Lineage: Eukaryota; Metazoa; Chordata; Lepidosauria; Squamata; Lacertidae
Source: RNAcentral